GCAACAGCCCGAAAACUUUACAAUGCGGGAAACCGUGAUAAGGGGACUCCGAGUGCUAGCAUCAUAUGCUGGCUGUCCAGGUGUGUAAACAUACACCUGUUAGCAAGGGCCGGGCAAGACCGGUGCCAGCCGCCGCGGUAACACCGGCGGCUCGAGUGGURAUCGUGAUUAUUGGGUCUAAAGGGUCCGUACACGGCUUUAACAGUCCGUCGGGAAAUCAGAUASCUCAASUAUUAGGCUYUCGGGAGAUUCUGCCAGACUUGARGCCGGGAGAGGUAAKAGGUCAUACUAGGGUAGGAGUGACAUCYUUGUAGCCUCUUAGUACCGUCAUUGGCGUAGGCGUCUCACCAGAUCGGGUCUCACGGUAAGGGACGAAAGCUGGGGGCUCGAACCGGAUUAGAUACCCGGGUAGUCCUAGCCGUAAGCGAUGCUCGCUAGGUGUACAGCAURGCGCGCCGUGUCYGGUGCCGCAGGGAAAUCGUGAACUGAGCCGCC
Molecule: ribosomal RNA, 495 nt
Filed under: uncultured archaeon
Lineage: Archaea
Description: bacterial SSU rRNA
Rfam family: Archaeal small subunit ribosomal RNA
Source: RNAcentral